RNAcentral lists this ribosomal RNA (1183 nucleotides) under human gut metagenome. RNAcentral describes it as "bacterial LSU rRNA". It matches the Rfam family "Bacterial large subunit ribosomal RNA", at positions 790 to 1989 of the family's 2925-position model. The record is from RNAcentral.
UGAAACGUUGGCGGAUGAGUUGUGGCUAGGGGUGAAAUUCCAAUCGAACCCGGAGAUAGCUGGUUCUCCCCGAAAUAGCUUUAGGGCUAGCGUCGAGAGAAGAGUUGCGUGAAGGUAGAGCACUGAAUAUGUGAUGGCCCCAUCUCGGGGUACUGAGCAUAAUCAAACUGCGAAUGUCACGCCAACAUGCUCGGCAGUCAGACAGCGGGUGAUAAGGUCCGUUGUCAAGAGGGAAACAGCCCAGACCAUCAGCUAAGGUCCCAAAAUGUAUGCUAAGUGGAAAAGGAUGUGGAGAUGUACAGACAACUAGGAGGUUGGCUCAGAAGCAGCCAUCCUUUAAAGAGUGCGUAACAGCUCACUAGUCGAAUGACUCUGCGCCGAUAAUUUACCGGGGCUAAGCAUACUACCGAAGCUAUGGAUCCCAAGGGAUGGUAGGGGAGCGUUCCAUGAACGGAGAAGUACGACCGAAAGGACGUGUGGAGAUCAUGGAAGAGAGAAUGCCGGUGUGAGUAGCGGAACGUGGGUGAGAAUCCCACGCACCGAAAACCCAAGGUUUCCAGAGGAAGGUUCGUCCGCUCUGGGUAAGUCGGGACCUAAGGCGAGGCCGAAAGGCGUAGUCGAUGGACAACAGGUAGAGAUUCCUGUACCCGUAUAUAUGUGAAGGAAUGACGGAGAGAGGAAGCUGCAGCCAGCGGCUGGAAGAGCUGGUGCAAGCGAGAUAUCGGGAUGGCAGGCAAAUCCACCAUCCGAAACGAGAAGGCGUGAAGCGUACGGAAAGCUACGGCGAGUACGGAAGGCAGUGGAGGAACUUCCAAGAAAAGUUUCUAACGUUAAGUAUAUAUGGCCCGUACCGAAAAUGGACACACAUGGGUGAGGAGAGAAUCCUAAGGUGAGCGAGAGAACUAUAGCUAAGGAACUCUGCAAAAUGACUCCGUAACUUAGGGAGAAGGAGUGCUCAUAGAGAUAUGAGCCGCAGUGAAACGGCCCAAGCGACUGUUUACCAAAAACACAGCUCUCUGCUAAGCCGCAAGGCGAAGUAUAGGGGGUGACGCCUGCCCGGUGCUGGAAGGUUAAGGGGAGGGGUUAACGCAAGUGAAGCCCUGAACUGAAGCCCCAGUAAACGGCGGCCGUAACUAUAACGGUCCUAAGGUAGCGAAAUUCCUUGUCAGGUAAGUUCUGACCC